RNAcentral lists this small RNA (912 nucleotides) under Rattus norvegicus (Norway rat). Its description in RNAcentral is "uncharacterized LOC102551787". Lineage: Eukaryota; Metazoa; Chordata; Mammalia; Rodentia; Muridae. The record is from RNAcentral.
GACCCCAUGCUGGGGCAUACCCAGAGGGAUAUCAUUAUCCUGUCAAACUUCACCAACCUCAGACAUUGCUCUGUGCCCCACCUCAGCCUCAACAAUGUGUCCUGAGUGUCCUUGGGUCAGUGAGGGCCUGUUGGCCUGCAAUCCCAGCCUGUGUAACUCUGCUUCGGUCGUAUCUACUGUGGGUAGGUGCUGGGCUUGGGAAUGUCACAACAGAAGUGACAUCACAGAAGAUGGUCUGAAAUCAUUGUGUGAGAAGAUUGGAAGAGUCCAGAAAGACAUCAUGUGAGAAACCCGGCACAGUAUGGGACCUCGAGGGACAUCUAGUCGGGCUUUCUGAAGAGAGUCAGUGGUAUUUCCCCAGAUGCAGCCUGCACACUCGGAGGUCUGGGAGGUGGCAGCACCGGCACACUGGAGUUGUCUAGUGAGGCAUUUCCACAUCGCUGCGUACAGGUAAUGUAGGUAGUGCGCACAGCAUGGAGAGUGUGUUUCUUCAUGGAAGUGGUACACCUCUGUGCUUCAGACAAGCUUUAAAGAAAUCGGUGAAGUUGCAAGUUUAGUGUGCUGGGCCUUACAAAAGUGUCUGCUGCUCUACGUUGCAUGAGAGGAGGAAAGUCAGACAUCGGUGCAGAAAAGUCAAAUCACAGCCAGAGAAUGGAGGGCGAGCUUCCCUCCGCCAAGGUGGACUGAAGAGAGGGCGGGGCUUGGAGACAGCACCAGGAGGAAACUGGUGAACGAGAGGACAGGACUGAGUUCAUCUGUGUUACCUCCUGGCUGUGUGGCCUGGAGCACAGCCCAAUUUCCCAUCUGCAAUGGGGGAAUCACGACCCGGUGUUGCGUAUUCAGCAUUUGGAGAAAACUCUUCUUCGUUAGUCAGAAGUUUCUAGAGACUAUUAGAGGUUAAUGAAUGCUUGU